Molecule: long non-coding RNA, 413 nt
Organism: Bubalus bubalis (water buffalo)
Lineage: Eukaryota; Metazoa; Chordata; Mammalia; Artiodactyla; Bovidae
Exons: 3
Source: RefSeq, a predicted model, not a curated record
UGCUGUGCCCUCCUGCUUCUCUACGGGUGCCUUGUACCAGAUCAUAACUCAGCUGAGCUUUGCUGUCCCCAGGACUGAUUAGUGACAAAGUCAUCAGGGAAACCCCUGGUCAGUCUGGACCAAAAGGAGUCAUGAAGACGCUGGCUUCCUGAGAGAAAGAGGCAUGCUUUCAAUCUCAGAACACAAAGCAACACUAAAUGAACAGACUUCUGCUGCAGAAGAUGAGCCUGUGUGGGAGCCAAAUACAGCCCUUUCCUCCUGUUGAUGAGAUCUACGAUACAUUUGGGAAAGAAAACAAACGGAUGAGACCGGGGCAACUAGUGAAAAGUAUAGCUGAGAAGACAAGGAUAAAACUGCAGGUGAGAGUCUGUGCUAAGGACUGGGAAUUUCUAGGAUACAGUCGACCAGUUAGA